UACGUAGGGUGCAAGCGUUGUCCGGAAUUAUUGGGCGUAAAGAGCUCGUAGGUGGUGUGUCGCGUCUGCCGUGAAAAGCCCCCGGGCUCAACCUGGGAAUGGCAAUGGAUACUGGCAGGCUAGAGUGCGGUAGAGGGUAGUGGAAUUCCCGGUGUAGCGGUGAAAUGCGUAGAGAUCGGAGGAACACCAGUGGCGAAGGCGGCUACCUGGACCAGCACUGACACUGAGGCACGAAAGCGUGGGAGCAAACAGG
Molecule: ribosomal RNA, 253 nt
Filed under: uncultured bacterium
Lineage: Bacteria
Description: partial 16S ribosomal RNA
Rfam family: Bacterial small subunit ribosomal RNA
Source: RNAcentral